GGUUAAGCGACUAAGCGUACACGGUGGAUGCCCUGGCAGUCAGAGGCGAUGAAGGACGUGCUAAUCUGCGAUAAGCGUCGGUAAGGUGAUAUGAACCGUUAUAACCGGCGAUUUCCGAAUGGGGAAACCCAGUGUGAUUCGUCACACUAUCAUUAACUGAAUCCAUAGGUUAAUGAGGCGAACCGGGGGAACUGAAACAUCUAAGUACCCCGAGGAAAAGAAAUCAACCGAGAUUCCCCCAGUAGCGGCGAGCGAACGGGGAGGAGCCCAGAGCCUGAAUCAGUGUGUGUGUUAGUGGAAGCGUCUGGAAAGGCGCGCGAUACAGGGUGACAGCCCCGUACACAAAAAUGCACAUGCUGUGAGCUCGAUGAGUAGGGCGGGACACGUGGUAUCCUGUCUGAAUAUGGGGGGACCAUCCUCCAAGGCUAAAUACUCCUGACUGACCGAUAGUGAACCAGUACCGUGAGGGAAAGGCGAAAAGAACCCCGGCGAGGGGAGUGAAAAAGAACCUGAAACCGUGUACGUACAAGCAGUGGGAGCACGCUUAGGCGUGUGACUGCGUACCUUUUGUAUAAUGGGUCAGCGACUUAUAUUCUGUAGCAAGGUUAACCGAAUAGGGGAGCCGAAGGGAAACCGAGUCUUAACUGGGCGUUAAGUUGCAGGGUAUAGACCCGAAACCCGGUGAUCUAGCCAUGGGCAGGUUGAAGGUUGGGUAACACUAACUGGAGGACCGAACCGACUAAUGUUGAAAAAUUAGCGGAUGACUUGUGGCUGGGGGUGAAAGGCCAAUCAAACCGGGAGAUAGCUGGUUCUCCCCGAAAGCUAUUUAGGUAGCGCCUCGUGAAUUCAUCUCCGGGGGUAGAGCACUGUUUCGGCAAGGGGGUCAUCCCGACUUACCAACCCGAUGCAAACUGCGAAUACCGGAGAAUGUUAUCACGGGAGACACACGGCGGGUGCUAACGUCCGUCGUGAAGAGGGAAACAACCCAGACCGCCAGCUAAGGUCCCAAAGUCAUGGUUAAGUGGGAAACGAUGUGGGAAGGCCCAGACAGCCAGGAUGUUGGCUUAGAAGCAGCCAUCAUUUAAAGAAAGCGUAAUAGCUCACUGGUCGAGUCGGCCUGCGCGGAAGAUGUAACGGGGCUAAACCAUGCACCGAAGCUGCGGCAGCGACACUAUGUGUUGUUGGGUAGGGGAGCGUUCUGUAAGCCUGUGAAGGUGUACUGUGAGGUAUGCUGGAGGUAUCAGAAGUGCGAAUGCUGACAUAAGUAACGAUAAAGCGGGUGAAAAGCCCGCUCGCCGGAAGACCAAGGGUUCCUGUCCAACGUUAAUCGGGGCAGGGUGAGUCGACCCCUAAGGCGAGGCCGAAAGGCGUAGUCGAUGGGAAACAGGUUAAUAUUCCUGUACUUGGUGUUACUGCGAAGGGGGGACGGAGAAGGCUAUGUUGGCCGGGCGACGGUUGUCCCGGUUUAAGCGUGUAGGCUGGUUUUCCAGGCAAAUCCGGAAAAUCAAGGCUGAGGCGUGAUGACGAGGCACUACGGUGCUGAAGCAACAAAUGCCCUGCUUCCAGGAAAAGCCUCUAAGCAUCAGGUAACAUCAAAUCGUACCCCAAACCGACACAGGUGGUCAGGUAGAGAAUACCAAGGCGCUUGAGAGAACUCGGGUGAAGGAACUAGGCAAAAUGGUGCCGUAACUUCGGGAGAAGGCACGCUGAUAUGUAGGUGAAGUCCCUCGCGGAUGGAGCUGAAAUCAGUCGAAGAUACCAGCUGGCUGCAACUGUUUAUUAAAAACACAGCACUGUGCAAACACGAAAGUGGACGUAUACGGUGUGACGCCUGCCCGGUGCCGGAAGGUUAAUUGAUGGGGUCAGCGCAAGCGAAGCUCUUGAUCGAAGCCCCGGUAAACGGCGGCCGUAACUAUAACGGUCCUAAGGUAGCGAAAUUCCUUGUCGGGUAAGUUCCGACCUGCACGAAUGGCGUAAUGAUGGCCAGGCUGUCUCCACCCGAGACUCAGUGAAAUUGAACUCGCUGUGAAGAUGCAGUGUACCCGCGGCAAGACGGAAAGACCCCGUGAACCUUUACUAUAGCUUGACACUGAACAUUGAGCCUUGAUGUGUAGGAUAGGUGGGAGGCUUUGAAGUGUGGACGCCAGUCUGCAUGGAGCCGACCUUGAAAUACCACCCUUUAAUGUUUGAUGUUCUAACGUUGACCCGUGAUCCGGGUUGCGGACAGUGUCUGGUGGGUAGUUUGACUGGGGCGGUCUCCUCCUAAAGAGUAACGGAGGAGCACGAAGGUUGGCUAAUCCUGGUCGGACAUCAGGAGGUUAGUGCAAUGGCAUAAGCCAGCUUGACUGCGAGCGUGACGGCGCGAGCAGGUGCGAAAGCAGGUCAUAGUGAUCCGGUGGUUCUGAAUGGAAGGGCCAUCGCUCAACGGAUAAAAGGUACUCCGGGGAUAACAGGCUGAUACCGCCCAAGAGUUCAUAUCGACGGCGGUGUUUGGCACCUCGAUGUCGGCUCAUCACAUCCUGGGGCUGAAGUAGGUCCCAAGGGUAUGGCUGUUCGCCAUUUAAAGUGGUACGCGAGCUGGGUUUAGAACGUCGUGAGACAGUUCGGUCCCUAUCUGCCGUGGGCGCUGGAGAACUGAGGGGGGCUGCUCCUAGUACGAGAGGACCGGAGUGGACGCAUCACUGGUGUUCGGGUUGUCAUGCCAAUGGCACUGCCCGGUAGCUAAAUGCGGAAGAGAUAAGUGCUGAAAGCAUCUAAGCACGAAACUUGCCCCGAGAUGAGUUCUCCCUGACUCCUUGAGAGUCCUGAAGGAACGUUGAAGACGACGACGUUGAUAGGCCGGGUGUGUAAGCGCAGCGAUGCGUUGAGCUAACCGGUACUAAUGAACCGUGAGGCUUAACCUU
RNAcentral lists this ribosomal RNA (2903 nucleotides) under Escherichia coli. RNAcentral describes it as "23S ribosomal RNA". It matches the Rfam family "Bacterial large subunit ribosomal RNA". Lineage: Bacteria; Pseudomonadati; Pseudomonadota; Gammaproteobacteria; Enterobacterales; Enterobacteriaceae. The record is from RNAcentral.